This 441-nucleotide ribosomal RNA is filed under the name uncultured bacterium. RNAcentral describes it as "partial 16S ribosomal RNA". It matches the Rfam family "Bacterial small subunit ribosomal RNA", at positions 338 to 795 of the family's 1533-position model. The record is from RNAcentral.
CCUACGGGAGGCAGCAGUGGGGGAUAUUGCACAAUGGGGGAAACCCUGAUGCAGCGACGCCGCGUGAGUGAAGAAGUAUCUCGGUAUGUAAAGCUCUAUCAGCAGGGAAGAAAAAAGACGGUACCUGACUAAGAAGCCCCUGCUAACUACGUGCCAGCAGCCGCGGUAAUACGCAGGGGGCAAGCGUUAUCCGGAUUUACUGGGGGUAUAGGGAGCGUAGACGGCAAUACAAGUCGGAAGUGAAAUACCCGGGCUCAACCUGGGAACUGCUUUGGAAACUGGAUGUCUGGAGUGCUGGAGAGGUAGGCGGAAUUCGUGGUGUAGCGGUGAAAUGCGUAGAUAUUAGGAGGAACCCCGGUGGCGAAGGCGGCUUACUGGACAAUAACUGACGUUGAGGCUCGAAAGCGUGGGGAGCAAACAGGAUUAGAUACCCGAGUAGUC